Molecule: ribosomal RNA, 541 nt
Filed under: Paenibacillus sp. MSB3005
Lineage: Bacteria; Bacillati; Bacillota; Bacilli; Caryophanales; Paenibacillaceae
Description: bacterial SSU rRNA
Rfam family: Bacterial small subunit ribosomal RNA
Source: RNAcentral
AGAGUUUGAUCCUGGCUCAGGACGAACGCUGGCGGCAUGCCUAAUACAUGCAAGUCGAGCGGAGUAAGAAUGGAAGCUUGCUUCCAUUCUUACUUAGCGGCGGACGGGUGAGUAACACGUAGGCAACCUGCCCUCAAGACUGGGAUAACUACCGGAAACGGUAGCUAAUACCGGAUAAUUUCUUUCCUCUCCUGAAGAGAGAAUGAAAGGUGGAGCAAUCUGCCGCUUGGGGAUGGGCCUGCGGCGCAUUAGCUAGUUGGUGGGGUAACGGCUCACCAAGGCGACGAUGCGUAGCCGACCUGAGAGGGUGAACGGCCACACUGGGACUGAGACACGGCCCAGACUCCUACGGGAGGCAGCAGUAGGGAAUCUUCCGCAAUGGGCGAAAGCCUGACGGAGCAAUGCCGCGUGAGUGAUGAAGGUUUUCGGAUCGUAAAGCUCUGUUGCCAGGGAAGAACGUCCGGUAGAGUAACUGCUACCGGAGUGACGGUACCUGAGAAGAAAGCCCCGGCUAACUACGUGCCAGCAGCCGCGGUAAUAC